RNAcentral lists this ribosomal RNA (1731 nucleotides) under Shigella sonnei. RNAcentral describes it as "bacterial LSU rRNA". It matches the Rfam family "Bacterial large subunit ribosomal RNA", at positions 1 to 1765 of the family's 2925-position model. The record is from RNAcentral. Lineage: Bacteria; Pseudomonadati; Pseudomonadota; Gammaproteobacteria; Enterobacterales; Enterobacteriaceae.
GGGUUGUGAGGUUAAGCGACUAAGCGUACACGGUGGAUGCCCUGGCAGUCAGAGGCGAUGAAGGACGUGCUAAUCUGCGAUAAGCGUCGGUAAGGUGAUAUGAACCGUUAUAACCGGCGAUUUCCGAAUGGGGAAACCCAGUGUGUUUCGACACACUAUCAUUAACUGAAUCCAUAGGUUAAUGAGGCGAACCGGGGGAACUGAAACAUCUAAGUACCCCGAGGAAAAGAAAUCAACCGAGAUUCCCCCAGUAGCGGCGAGCGAACGGGGAGCAGCCCAGAGCCUGAAUCAGUGUGUGUGUUAGUGGAAGCGUCUGGAAAGGCGCGCGAUACAGGGUGACAGCCCCGUACACAAAAAUGCACAUGCUGUGAGCUCGAUGAGUAGGGCGGGACACGUGGUAUCCUGUCUGAAUAUGGGGGGACCAUCCUCCAAGGCUAAAUACUCCUGACUGACCGAUAGUGAACCAGUACCGUGAGGGAAAGGCGAAAAGAACCCCGGCGAGGGGAGUGAAAAAGAACCUGAAACCGUGUACGUACAAGCAGUGGGAGCACGCUUCGGCGUGUGACUGCGUACCUUUUGUAUAAUGGGUCAGCGACUUAUAUUCUGUAGCAAGGUUAACCGAAUAGGGGAGCCGAAGGGAAACCGAGUCUUAACUGGGCGUUAAGUUGCAGGGUAUAGACCCGAAACCCGGUGAUCUAGCCAUGGGCAGGUUGAAGGUUGGGUAACACUAACUGGAGGACCGAACCGACUAAUGUUGAAAAAUUAGCGGAUGACUUGUGGCUGGGGGUGAAAGGCCAAUCAAACCGGGAGAUAGCUGGUUCUCCCCGAAAGCUAUUUAGGUAGCGCCUCGUGAAUUCAUCUCCGGGGGUAGAGCACUGUUUCGGCAAGGGGGUCAUCCCGACUUACCAACCCGAUGCAAACUGCGAAUACCGGAGAAUGUUAUCACGGGAGACACACGGCGGGUGCUAACGUCCGUCGUGAAGAGGGAAACAACCCAGACCGCCAGCUAAGGUCCCAAAGUCAUGGUUAAGUGGGAAACGAUGUGGGAAGGCCCAGACAGCCAGGAUGUUGGCUUAGAAGCAGCCAUCAUUUAAAGAAAGCGUAAUAGCUCACUGGUCGAGUCGGCCUGCGCGGAAGAUGUAACGGGGCUAAACCAUGCACCGAAGCUGCGGCAGCGACGCUUAUGCGUUGUUGGGUAGGGGAGCGUUCUGUAAGCCUGUGAAGGUGUGCUGUGAGGCAUGCUGGAGGUAUCAGAAGUGCGAAUGCUGACAUAAGUAACGAUAAAGCGGGUGAAAAGCCCGCUCGCCGGAAGACCAAGGGUUCCUGUCCAACGUUAAUCGGGGCAGGGUGAGUCGACCCCUAAGGCGAGGCCGAAAGGCGUAGUCGAUGGGAAACAGGUUAAUAUUCCUGUACUUGGUGUUACUGCGAAGGGGGGACGGAGAAGGCUAUGUUGGCCGGGCGACGGUUGUCCCGGUUUAAGCGUGUAGGCUGGUUUUCCAGGCAAAUCCGGAAAAUCAAGGCUGAGGCGUGAUGACGAGGCACUACGGUGCUGAAGCAACAAAUGCCCUGCUUCCAGGAAAAGCCUCUAAGCAUCAGGUAACAUCAAAUCGUACCCCAAACCGACACAGGUGGUCAGGUAGAGAAUACCAAGGCGCUUGAGAGAACUCGGGUGAAGGAACUAGGCAAAAUGGUGCCGUAACUUCGGGAGAAGGCACGCUGAUAUGUAGGUGA